AAGACUAUAGACCUGCGGAGUACCUGCGGAAGGAUCAUUAACAAAUCUGAGUUGUGGGUGUGUGGUGCGUGCAUGUAUGCGUCAAGUGUACACCGUGCACAAUCCGCUCGCCUGCACAUUUACCCCGAGCCGGUCUAAACAGCCGGCUUUGGUUUGAGCCUUUGGGCUCAGGCGAUGGCUGUACGGUGUAGGGAGGGGAGGGGGGAGAGCAGCGCUGCUGCCUUUCCCUCUCUCUUCUCC
RNAcentral lists this unclassified non-coding RNA (240 nucleotides) under soil metagenome. RNAcentral's name for it is "partial contains 5.8S ribosomal RNA, internal transcribed spacer 2, and large subunit ribosomal RNA". The record is from RNAcentral.